UACAGAGGCCUCAAGCGUUAGGCGGAAUCACUGGGCUUAAAGCGCGUGUAGGCGGAUCGUUAAGUGUCUUGUGAAAUCCCACGGCUCAACCGUGGAACUGCUGGGCAUACUGGCGAUCUUGGGCCACUCAGGGGCAACCGGAACAGGCGGUGGAGCGGUGAAAUGCGUAGAUAUCGCUUGGAACGCCAAAGGUGAAGACAGGUUGCUGGGGGUGUGCCGACGCUGAGACGCGAAAGCCAGGGGAGCAAACGGG
Molecule: ribosomal RNA, 253 nt
Filed under: uncultured bacterium
Lineage: Bacteria
Description: partial 16S ribosomal RNA
Rfam family: Bacterial small subunit ribosomal RNA
Source: RNAcentral